AUUGAACGCUGGCGGCAGGCCUAACACAUGCAAGUCGAGCGGAUGAAGGGAGCUUGCUCCUGGAUUCAGCGGCGGACGGGUGAGUAAUGCCUAGGAAUCUGCCUGGUAGUGGGGGAUAACAUCCGGAAACGGGCGCUAAUACCGCAUACGUCCUGAGGUAGAAAGUGGGGGAUCUUCGGACCUCACGCUAUCAGAUGAGCCUAGGUCGGAUUAGCUAGUUGGUGGGGUAAAGGCCUACCAAGGCGACGAUCCGUAACUGGUCUGAGAGGAUGAUCAGUCACACUGGAACUGAGACACGGUCCAGACUCCUACGGGAGGCAGCAGUGGGGAAUAUUGGACAAUGGGCGAAAGCCUGAUCCAGCCAUGCCGCGUGUGUGAAGAAGGUCUUCGGAUUGUAAAGCACUUUAAGUUGGGAGGAAGGGCAGUAAGUUAAUACCUUGCUGUUUUGACGUUACCAACAGAAUAAGCACCGGCUAACUUCGUG
Molecule: ribosomal RNA, 484 nt
Filed under: uncultured bacterium
Lineage: Bacteria
Description: partial 16S ribosomal RNA
Rfam family: Bacterial small subunit ribosomal RNA
Source: RNAcentral